This 810-nucleotide ribosomal RNA is filed under the name Vibrio harveyi. RNAcentral's name for it is "bacterial SSU rRNA". It matches the Rfam family "Bacterial small subunit ribosomal RNA", at positions 1 to 764 of the family's 1533-position model. The record is from RNAcentral. Lineage: Bacteria; Pseudomonadati; Pseudomonadota; Gammaproteobacteria; Vibrionales; Vibrionaceae.
AGGGAAUUUUUGGUUGGGGGGGGGUUUAUAUAUAUAUUGUUGUUUUUUUUCUAGAUGAACGCUGGCGGCAGGCCUAACACAUGCAAGUCGAGCGGAAACGAGUUAUCUGAACCUUCGGGGAACGAUAACGGCGUCGAGCGGCGGACGGGUGAGUAAUGCCUAGGAAAUUGCCCUGAUGUGGGGGAUAACCAUUGGAAACGAUGGCUAAUACCGCAUAAUACCUACGGGUCAAAGAGGGGGACCUUCGGGCCUCUCGCGUCAGGAUAUGCCUAGGUGGGAUUAGCUAGUUGGUGAGGUAAUGGCUCACCAAGGCGACGAUCCCUAGCUGGUCUGAGAGGAUGAUCAGCCACACUGGAACUGAGACACGGUCCAGACUCCUACGGGAGGCAGCAGUGGGGAAUAUUGCACAAUGGGCGCAAGCCUGAUGCAGCCAUGCCGCGUGUGUGAAGAAGGCCUUCGGGUUGUAAAGCACUUUCAGUCGUGAGGAAGGUAGUGUAGUUAAUAGCUGCAUUAUUUGACGUUAGCGACAGAAGAAGCACCGGCUAACUCCGUGCCAGCAGCCGCGGUAAUACGGAGGGUGCGAGCGUUAAUCGGAAUUACUGGGCGUAAAGCGCAUGCAGGUGGUUUGUUAAGUCAGAUGUGAAAGCCCGGGGCUCAACCUCGGAAUAGCAUUUGAAACUGGCAGACUAGAGUACUGUAGAGGGGGGUAGAAUUUCAGGUGUAGCGGUGAAAUGCGUAGAGAUCUGAAGGAAUACCGGUGGCGAAGGCGGCCCCCUGGACAGAUACUGACACUCAGAUGCAAAAGAGCGA